Molecule: unclassified non-coding RNA, 337 nt
Filed under: Trechisporales sp.
Lineage: Eukaryota; Fungi; Basidiomycota; Agaricomycetes; Trechisporales
Description: partial contains 5.8S ribosomal RNA, internal transcribed spacer 2, and large subunit ribosomal RNA
Rfam family: 5.8S ribosomal RNA (bases 1-71)
Source: RNAcentral
GUGAGUCAUCGAAUCUUUGAACGCACCUUGCGCCCUUUGGUAUUCCGAUGGGCAUGCCUGUUUGAGUGUCUUGAAAUCAUCAAACCCCCGGUUUUGCGAUCGUGGGGCUUGGACUUGGGGGCUCUGCUGCCGCGAGGCGGCUCCCCUUAAAUGCAUCGGUCGGGCCUACUGGGGCUCCGUCACCUGGGCGUUGUAUUACCCUCGCUCUUCCGACAUGCCUCAGCUUUGCGCGCCCGACCCCGACCUGCCUCUGGAGCGGCGGUCAACACUCUUUGAGAUCUGACCUCAAAUCAGGUAGGACUACCCGCUGAACUUAAGCAUAUCAAUAAGCGGAGGA